UACGUAGGUGGCAAGCGUUGUCCGGAAUUAUUGGGCGUAAAGCGCGCGCAGGCGGCCUUUUAAGUCUGAUGUGAAAGCCCACGGCUCAACCGUGGAAGGGCAUUGGAAACGAAGGGCUUGAGUACAGAAGAGGAAAGCGGAAUUCCACGUGUAGCGGUGAAAUGCGUAGAGAUGUGGAGGAACACCAGUGGCGAAGGCGGCUUUCUGGUCUGUAACUGACGCUGAGGCGCGAAAGCGUGGGGAGCAAACAGG
Molecule: ribosomal RNA, 252 nt
Filed under: uncultured bacterium
Lineage: Bacteria
Description: partial 16S ribosomal RNA
Rfam family: Bacterial small subunit ribosomal RNA
Source: RNAcentral